UGCUACUACUACUAGUAGUAGUACUUUAUGGCAUGUCAUCAGUGCCACGAUCCUCAAAACUGAAAGCCACGGCCUCUCCUCUGCUCUAGACCUGGCCCCCUGGUUUUACAGCCCUCUCCCAUCAUCAUUUGGAAUCGGAAUCCUGUUUGUGUGUCUGUCGAUUGCUUGUUCCCGUGAUCUUCCUCCGUCCUAGCCUAGGCCCCCUCAUCGCAGGUCAAUAACACCCGGUCAUCCUCCAAGUAUCUUGUCACCUGGCUCAUCCUUUCCAGGUUCUUGCUUGCCGCACAGCCCCCUAUUAAUGCUUCCUCCUGUCAAUCUCAUGCUCAAAUCCGCCUUUCUCCCCCCGUCUGGUUGCCGCUUGCUUGUUUUCGAAGCUGUUCCGAUUGGCUAUGUUGAUGCAAGAGUUUUCAUCUUGAUUGACUUGAGGUGUUCUUGAUUGGGCAGCCUUGCUCUGUUCGUCGCUUGGCUUUUCUUUUCGCAGGGUUGGCGCUAGUUCUUGAUUGGUGGGAAAGAAACGCUCGUAUUAAUUCCCGGCCAGUUUUUGAUCGGUUCUUGUUCCAAAGGUCGGCAAGGAAUCCCAAGCUCCUGCCAUCGACCGGCUCCCUAUCCGACCAAGCUAGCGAGCGGGCGUGCGACCGGAAUAAAUGGGGGUCGCCGGCGGCAGCGGCUGCGUGGCCAAGGCGGCGGCGGUGGCGGUGGUGGUGCUGUGCAUGGCUCGGUGGUCGGCCGGUGGCAUGGGCGUGAACUGGGGCACGCAGCUGAGCCACCCGCUGCCGGCGAGCACGGUGGUGCGGCUGCUCAAGGACAACGGCUUCGACCGGGUGAAGCUGUUCGACGCCGAGGACGGCAUCCUGGGCGCGCUCAAGGGGUCGGGGAUCCAGGUGAUGGUCGGCAUCCCCAACGACAUGCUCUCCGACCUCGCCGGCAGCACCAAGGCCGCCGAGCGCUGGGUCACGGCCAACGUCUCCAAGCACGUCAACGACGGCGUCGACAUAAGGUUGGUGGCCGUCGGGAACGAGCCGUUCCUGCAGACGUUCAACGGCACGUACCUGAACACGACGUUCCCGGCGAUGCAGAACAUCCAGGCGGCGCUGAUGGCGGCCGGGCUGGGCGGCCAGGUGAAGGUGACGGUGGCGCUGAACGCCGACGUCUACCAGUCGGCGACGGGGAAGCCGUCGGACGGCGACUUCCGUGCGGACAUCCACGGGCUCAUGCUCGACAUCGUGCAGUUCCUGGCGUCCAGCGGCGCGCCGUUCGUGGCCAACGUGUACCCGUUCAUCAGCCUGUACGCGGACCCCAACUUCCCGCUGGACUACGCCUUCUUCCAGGGCUCCACCUCGCCGGUGGUGGACGGCGGCGUGAUGUACCAGAACACCUUCGACGCCAACCACGACACGCUGGUGGCGGCGCUGCGCAGGAACGGGUUCCCCAACGUGACCGUCGUGGUCGGCGAGGUCGGCUGGCCCACGGACGGCGACGCCAACGCCAACCCGGCGUACGCGCAGCGGUUCAACCAGGGCCUCCUGGACCACGUCGCCUCCGGGAAGGGCACGCCGCUGACGCCGGGCGCCCCCGUCGACGCCUACCUCUUCAGCCUGGUCGACGAGGACAGGAAGAGCAUCCAGCCGGGCAACUUCGAGCGCCACUGGGGCAUCUUCUUCUACGACGGGAAGCCCAAGUACCAGCUCAGCCUCCGCGGCAACGGCGGCGGCAUGCUCGUGCCGGCGAGGGGCGUCGAGUACCUCCAGAGGCGGUGGUGCGUGCUCAAGCCCGGCGCCGACCUCGGCGACCAGAAGGUCGGCGACAGCGUCAGCUACGCCUGCGGCAGCGCCGACUGCACCAGCCUCGGGUACAAGACGUCGUGCGGCGGCCUCGACGCCAAGGGCAACGUGUCGUACGCGUUCAACAGCUACUACCAGACCGAGGACCAGGACGACCGGGCCUGCGACUUCCGCGGACUCGCCACCACCACCACCGUCGACCCCUCUACCGGGACGUGCCGGUUCAUCGUCGGGAUCGCCCCGACCAGCGCGGCGACGAGGAACGUCGCCGCCAGGGCAGCGGCCGUCCUCUUCGCGGUGUUGCUCGCGGGCGUGUUCUGAGUUCAGGAUCGUGGUCGAUGCUUUAUUAGUUUAGCUGUCAAUCUUUCAGCUUUUCCUUUUUCUUGGCAGAAAUAGUUGUUCAUCUUGAUUGUCAUUCGUGAGUAGGGUGUGAGCCGUAUCCGGUGGAGUUAUUGCAUCUUUCUUUCUUUUUUGCCACCUUGGACAUGCUAAGAAAAUGCAAUGAGAAAUACAUGGUUUAGUAGCACUGCAC
Molecule: ribosomal RNA, 2313 nt
Filed under: Triticum aestivum (bread wheat)
Lineage: Eukaryota; Viridiplantae; Streptophyta; Magnoliopsida; Poales; Poaceae
Description: partial small subunit ribosomal RNA
Source: RNAcentral